RNAcentral lists this ribosomal RNA (484 nucleotides) under uncultured bacterium. Its description in RNAcentral is "partial 16S ribosomal RNA". It matches the Rfam family "Bacterial small subunit ribosomal RNA", at positions 29 to 507 of the family's 1533-position model. The record is from RNAcentral.
AGUGAACGCUGGCGGCAGGCCUAACACAUGCAAGUCGAGCGGCAGCGGGUCCUUCGGGAUGCCGGCGAGCGGCGGACGGGUGAGGAAUGCGUCGGAAUCUGCCUUUUUGUGGGGGAUAACGUAGGGAAACUUACGCUAAUACCGCAUACGACCUACGGGUGAAAGUGGGGGACCGCAAGGCCUCACGCAGAAAGAUGAGCCGACGUCGGAUUAGCUAGUUGGCGGGGUAAAGGCCCACCAAGGCGACGAUCCGUAGCUGGUCUGAGAGGAUGAUCUGCCACACUGGAACUGAGACACGGUCCAGACUCCUACGGGAGGCAGCAGUGGGGAAUAUUGGACAAUGGGCGCAAGCCUGAUCCAGCCAUGCCGCGUGUGUGAAGAAGGCCUUCGGGUUGUAAAGCACUUUUGUCCGGAAAGAAAUCCUGUCGGCUAAUACCCGGCGGGGAUGACGGUACCGGAAGAAUAAGCACCGGCUAACUUCGUG